AGGACGAACGCUGGCGGCGUGCUUAACACAUGCAAGUCGAGCGGUAAGGCCCUUUCGGGGGUACACGAGCGGCGAACGGGUGAGUAACACGUGGGUGACCUGCCCCCUACUCUGGGAUAAGCCUGGGAAACUGGGUCUAAUAUCGGAUAUGACUCAAGGCUGCAUGGUUUUGGGUGGAAAGCUUUUGUGGUGGGGGAUGGGCCCGCGGCCUAUCAGCUUGUUGGUGGGGUGAUGGCCUACCAAGGCUUCGACGGGUA
Molecule: ribosomal RNA, 257 nt
Filed under: uncultured bacterium
Lineage: Bacteria
Description: partial small subunit ribosomal RNA
Rfam family: Bacterial small subunit ribosomal RNA
Source: RNAcentral